Arachis duranensis is the source of this 838-nucleotide long non-coding RNA. RefSeq lists it as uncharacterized. NCBI's taxonomy places the organism in Eukaryota, Viridiplantae, Streptophyta, Magnoliopsida, Fabales, Fabaceae. The transcript has 4 exons. The record is from RefSeq and is a predicted model, not a curated record.
AAAAUGUCAGGAGAUAAAGGAUUAUCAAUUUCAAAAAAAUGUUGAGAUAUAAAAUGUUGAUCAUUCUGUGGUAUUAUGCUAACUGAACAUGAACCUGAACCUUGCAAGAUGACCUUUUCGGUUUAAUCUUAGGCAGCGUUGCGUUCAUCUAUUGUAAAAGAGCUCUCUUAGCAACAGAUUCUUCUUGCUGAGCAAGCCAUAAACGGGAUCUAGUGUUGUUUCCAAGUUGAGGUAUCAACAUAAUAAGUAGUCAUUGAAUAAGAAAGCAUAACAUAUCACCAACUACCUAUACACUUUGGCAUUUAUCUUUAUGAACUGAUCUAUACCUUUUAUUUAAAAAAAAUUUGUAUCUAGUUCUAUUCUAAUACGUGAAAGUUUGUGCUGGAUUUUUUUACUUGUCAACGAGAACAACACACAUUGGUAUCUGGUUAUUUUUUAUUUGUGCAAUCAUCAAACAAUUCUGCUAGACUCCCUACCGAUUGCUACAGAUAAAGAGCAAAAGAGAUCGAGUAUAGUAAAGCUGGCAAAAUAUCUGGAAGAUAUGCUCAAGUAUGACUCGUUCUAUAAAUACAACACUCCGUUCAAGCCAAGGAUACUUGAUUUUGCAUUUGUGGAUAUACUAGAAAUAGGAGAACAAGCUCCUGGCUCUAAUGAUUGUGGGGUAUGGAUGGCAACCUGGAUGACAAACUAUAGGAAGACAUAUAGUUAUACAAUAAAUGUUAAUGAUGGUACAAGGAUGCGACUUGCGUUGGAUUUGAUUCUAAGGCCCCACAACUUGAUGCUGCGUAAUGUCAUUGAAUCUGCUACUAGGAAUUACAAUAAGUAUAAACAAAAUGAG